GCCAGCCUCGCCGUUUCUUCUUUUCCACGCGCGACAACUCUUGCCCGAGCCCUCGCCGCGCGCCCGAUCUCCUCCGUGCCCUAACCGCUGGCCCAACGGUUCUCCUCUUCUUCAUUUCUUCCGCCCGACGCCACUGUUCUUCCGCCGCAGAGCCCUAUUUCUUUCUCCUCUCUGUGCCUGUGCCCGCGCGAAGCCUCAGCCGAGCCAUCUCCGGCCUAUGCCCUAGCCGCCGGCGACGCACGGAGCAACGCCGCAAAACCCCCUGGUGCCCUAGUCGACACCGAUCACAGCCGUCGCCUCUCGCCGUAGAGGACUCAGAUCGCCGCCCCUUUUUGUCAGCGAGUUUUGGCCGGAAGAGGGAGUAUCAAGCCCUCUCUUGAUCAGCCCGGUUCUCCACUGCCGAGCCCUCUUCCCAUCUGUUAAUUGUCGACGCCAGUCAAGUUGCUGUUUCCCAUCCUUUCCUCUCUUCCGGCAGAGCAGAGCCGUUGACUCCUUGUUCUUGGGCCAUGCCUUAGCACAGUAGCCGGAUCCUUGAUCACCUCCGACCAGUGGAAAGGAAGAGGGGAAAAAUUUCAAGCGGGAAUUGUGUACUGUGGGGAGUUCCUAGUUUCGGCAGCAACCAUUCAGUAUUCCCUUUUACCAGCAGCAUUCAACCUUAGUUGGGUAGUAACUCUUUAAUUCCAGCAUUUUCUUGUUCUCGAAUAAGCUGUGGAACUUGAAGUAAGGACUUUGAUUCGGGACGGUAUCUCGACGAGUAUCUUGAUUACCGGAUUGGACCACUUUAUU
Molecule: long non-coding RNA, 786 nt
Organism: Zingiber officinale
Lineage: Eukaryota; Viridiplantae; Streptophyta; Magnoliopsida; Zingiberales; Zingiberaceae
Exons: 3
Source: RefSeq, a predicted model, not a curated record